UGGGGAAUAUUGGACAAUGGGCGGAAGCCUGAUCCAGCAACGCCGCGUGAGGGAUGACGGCCUUCGGGUUGUAAACCUCUUUCAGCGGGGACGAAGUUUUGUCUUUUUGGGCGAAGUGACGGUACCCGCAGAAGAAGCACCGGCCAACUACGUGCCAGCAGCCGCGGUAAUACGUAGGGUGCGAGCGUUGUCCGGAAUUAUUGGGCGUAAAGGGCUCGUAGGCGGUUUGUCGCGUCGGGAGUGAAAACCCAGGGCUUAACCCUGGGCUGGCUUCCGAUACGGGCAGACUAGAGGUAUGCAGGGGAGAACGGAAUUCCUGGUGUAGCGGUGAAAUGCGCAGAUAUCAGGAGGAACACCGGUGGCGAAGGCGGUUCUCUGGGCAUUACCUGACGCUGAGGAGCGAAAGUGUGGGGAGCGAACAGG
This 423-nucleotide ribosomal RNA is filed under the name uncultured bacterium. Its description in RNAcentral is "bacterial SSU rRNA". It matches the Rfam family "Bacterial small subunit ribosomal RNA", at positions 355 to 776 of the family's 1533-position model. The record is from RNAcentral.